GUUUUUUCCCCAUUUUUUCCCCAUUGUUCCUCGAUUUUCCCUUUUUUCCCGUUUUUUCCCUUUUUUCCCAGUUUUUUCCCAUUUUUUCCCCAUUGUUCCUCGAUUUUCCCGUUUUUUCCCUUUUUUCCCUGAUUUUUCCCAUUUCCCCCGUUUUUCCCCAAUUUUACCCCGAUUUUCCCAUUAAUUUUUCCUGAUUUUUCCCCAUUUUCCCCCAGAGUUUUCCCCAUUUCCCCCCUGAGUUUCCACAGUUUUUUUCCCCGUUCUUUCCUCAUUUUUCCACCAUUUUCCCCCCAUUUUUUCCCAAUUUUCCUCCAAUUUUUUCCCCAUUUUUUCCCCGAUUUUCCCCAUGAUUUUUCCAUGUUUUUCCCCAAUUUUCCCCCGAUUUUCCCAUUAUUUUUUCCUGAUUUUUCCCCAUUUUCCCCCUGAGUUUUCCACAAUUUUUCACCCAUUCUUUCCUCAUUUUUCUGCCAUUUUUUCCCCAAUUUUUCCCCGAUUUUCCCAUUAAUUUUUCCUGAUUUUUCCCCAUUUUCCCCCUGAAUUUCCCCCAUUUUUCCGCCAUUUUCCCUGUUUUUAUCUCAUUUUUCCGCCAUUUUCCCCCCAAUUUUUCCCCGUUUUUUCCCCAUUUUUUCCCCAAUUUUUUCCCCGAUUUUUCCCCAAUUUUUCCCCGUAUUUUUCCAUGUUUUCCCCAGGAAUAAGGAGUGUCCCACCUGCAGGAAGAAGCUGCCCAUUGCCCAUUGCCCAUUUCUUCCCCAAUUUCCCCCAUUUCAACCCCAAUUUUUCCCCAUUUUUACCCAACUUUUUCUCUAUUUUUUUCCUGAUUUCCCCCCAAUUUUUCCCCGAUUUUCCCAUUAUUUUUUCCUGAUUUUCCCCCAUUUUCCCCUGUUCUUUCCUCAUUUUUUCCCCAAUUUUUCCCCGUAUUUUUCCAUGUUUUCCCCAGGAACAAGGAGUGUCCCACCUGCAGGAAGAAGCUGCCCCUUGCCCAUUGCCCAUUGCCCAUUUCUUCCCCAAUUUCCCCCAUUUUUCCCCCCAUUUUUCUGCCA
RNAcentral lists this long non-coding RNA (1040 nucleotides) under Lonchura striata (white-rumped munia). Its description in RNAcentral is "domestica (Bengalese finch) lncRNA (ENSLSDG00000010722.1)". The record is from RNAcentral. Lineage: Eukaryota; Metazoa; Chordata; Aves; Passeriformes; Estrildidae.